Pelobates cultripes (western spadefoot toad) is the source of this 202-nucleotide non-coding RNA. Lineage: Eukaryota; Metazoa; Chordata; Amphibia; Anura; Pelobatidae. The record is from the annotation of a GenBank genome assembly.
GUCUUGAUUCAAAUCUUCAUUGGUUUAUUCAUGCAAAUUACAUGUGCAAAAAAAGAAAUCCCUGAUCGACUUUUCUAUCCCUAAAGGGUCUUUUUCAAUUUAAUCUUGAAAAAGACCCUUUAGGGAUCGAAACGUCGAUCAGGGAGUUCUUUUUUUGCACAUGUAAUUUGCACGAAUAAACCAAUGAAGAUUUGAAUCAAGA